This 239-nucleotide ribosomal RNA is filed under the name uncultured bacterium. RNAcentral describes it as "partial 16S ribosomal RNA". It matches the Rfam family "Bacterial small subunit ribosomal RNA", at positions 524 to 764 of the family's 1533-position model. The record is from RNAcentral.
UACGUAGGGUGCAAGCGUUAAUCGGAAUUACUGGGCGUAAAGCGUGCGCAGGCGGUGAUGUAAGACAGGUGUGAAAUCCCCGGGCUUAACCUGGGAACUGCAUUUGUGACUGCAUCGCUGGAGUGCGGCAGAGGGGGAUGGAAUUCCGCGUGUAGCAGUGAAAUGCGUAGAUAUGCGGAGGAACACCGAUGGCGAAGGCAAUCCCCUGGCCUGCACUGACGCUCAUGCACGAAGCGUGG